UACGUAGGGGCCUAGCGUUGUCCGGAUUUAUUGGGCGUAAAGAGCUCGUAGGCGGCACGGUCAGUCAGGUGUGAAAUCUCCACGCUCAACGUGGAGAGGUCAUUUGAUACUGCCGAGCUUGAGUACAGAUGAGGUAGGCGGAAUUGACGGUGUAGCGGUGAAAUGCUUAGAUAUCGUCAAGAACACCGAUAGCGAAGGCAGCUUACUAGGCUGUAACUGACGCUGAGGCACGAAAGUGUGGGGAGCAAACAGG
Molecule: ribosomal RNA, 253 nt
Filed under: uncultured bacterium
Lineage: Bacteria
Description: partial 16S ribosomal RNA
Rfam family: Bacterial small subunit ribosomal RNA
Source: RNAcentral